GAUCAUGGCUCAGGAUGAACGCUAGCGGCAGGCUUAAUACAUGCAAGUCGUGGGGCAGCAGGUUUGUAGCAAUACAGAUGCUGGCGACCGGCAAACGGGUGCGGAACACGUACAGAACCUUCCUUUGAGCGGGGAAUAGCCCAGAGAAAUUUGGAUUAAUACCCCAUAGUAUAAUGAAGUGGCAUCACUUUAUUAUUAAAGAUUUAUCACUCGAAGAUGGCUGUGCGGCUGAUUAGGUAGUUGGCGGGGUAAAGGCCCACCAAGCCUGCGAUCAGUAACUGGUGUGAGAGCACGACCAGUCACACGGGCACUGAGACACGGGCCCGACUCCUACGGGAGGCAGCAGUAAGGAAUAUUGGUCAAUGGAGGCAACUCUGAACCAGCCAUGCCGCGUGGAGGAUGAAGGUCCUCUGGAUUGUAAACUUCUUUAUAUGGGACGAAAAAGGCUUUCUAAGUCGUCUGACGGUACCAUAUGAAUAAGCACCGGCUAACUCCGUG
This 498-nucleotide ribosomal RNA is filed under the name uncultured bacterium. RNAcentral's name for it is "bacterial SSU rRNA". It matches the Rfam family "Bacterial small subunit ribosomal RNA", at positions 15 to 507 of the family's 1533-position model. The record is from RNAcentral.